AAAAUUCGUACAUAGUGAGGUGCCCUUGGCAAAGGGCUUAAAAAAGGAAUCCCGUUAAAAACGGGAGCGGAUCCGCCGCUGUGAUCCCGCCCUUUUCAGUUUUGCUGAGAAGGGAACUCUUUUAGCAGUGAGUGCCACUAUUCCGAAGCAUCGGGACGGGAAGGUCGCUAAAAGGGCGGGAGAGCCAGAAGACUUGCCUUACUAUGCUUCACAAA
RNAcentral lists this non-coding RNA (215 nucleotides) under Deltaproteobacteria bacterium. The record is from RNAcentral. Lineage: Bacteria; Pseudomonadati; Myxococcota; Myxococcia.